CCUACGGGAGGCAGCAGUGAGGAAUAUUGGUCAAUGGACGAGAGUCUGAACCAGCCAAGCAGCGUGCAGGAUGACGGCCCUAUGAGUUGUAAACUUCUUUUGUAUGGGAAUAAACCGUUCUACGUGUGGGCUUUUGUAUGUACCAUACGAAUAAGGAUCGGCUAACUCCGUGCCAGCAGCCGCGGUAAUACGGAGGAUCCGAGCGUUAUCCGGAUUUAUUGGGUUUAAAGGGCGCGUAGGUGGAUUGGUAAGUCAGUUGUGAAAGGUCCCCGCUCAACCGGAAAAUUGCAGUUGAUACUGGCAGUCUAGAGUGCAGUAGAGGUGGGCGGAAUUCAUGGUGUAGCGGUGAAAUGCUUAGAUAUCACGAAGAACACCGAUUGCGAAGGCAGUUCACUGGACUGUAACUGACACUGAGGCUCGAAAGCGUGGGGAGCAAACAGGAUUAGAUACCCUAGUAGUC
RNAcentral lists this ribosomal RNA (460 nucleotides) under uncultured bacterium. RNAcentral describes it as "partial 16S ribosomal RNA". It matches the Rfam family "Bacterial small subunit ribosomal RNA", at positions 338 to 795 of the family's 1533-position model. The record is from RNAcentral.